This 444-nucleotide ribosomal RNA is filed under the name uncultured bacterium. RNAcentral describes it as "bacterial SSU rRNA". It matches the Rfam family "Bacterial small subunit ribosomal RNA", at positions 355 to 822 of the family's 1533-position model. The record is from RNAcentral.
UGGGGAAUAUUGGGCAAUGGGCGAAAGCCUGACCCAGCAACGCCGCGUGAAGGAUGAAGUAUUUCGGUAUGUAAACUUCGAAAGAAUAGGAAGAAUAAAUGACGGUACUAUUUAUAAGGUCCGGCUAACUACGUGCCAGCAGUCGCGGUAAUACGUAGGGACCAAGCGUUGUUCGGAUUUACUGGGCGUAAAGGGCGCGUAGGCGGCAAUUCAAGUCAUCUGUGAAAUCUCCGGGCUUAACUCGGAACGGUCAGAUGAUACUGCUUUGCUAGAGUGCAGAAGGGGCAAUCGGAAUUCUUGGUGUAGCGGUGAAAUGCGUAGAUAUCAAGAGGAACACCUGAGGUGAAGACGGGUUGCUGGGCUGACACUGACGCUGAGGCGCGAAAGCCAGGGGAGCAAACGGGAUUAGAUACCCAGGUAGUCCCUGAGCGGGCUGGCAAGGCG